RNAcentral lists this transfer RNA (88 nucleotides) under bacterium. RNAcentral's name for it is "tRNA-Ser". It matches the Rfam family "tRNA". From Rfam's summary of the family: Transfer RNA (tRNA) molecules are approximately 80 nucleotides in length. Their secondary structure includes four short double-helical elements and three loops (D, anti-codon, and T loops). Further hydrogen bonds mediate the characteristic L-shaped molecular structure. tRNAs have two regions of fundamental functional importance: the anti-codon, which is responsible for specific mRNA codon recognition, and the 3' end, to which the tRNAs corresponding amino acid is attached (by aminoacyl-tRNA synthetases). tRNAs cope with the degeneracy of the genetic code in two manners: having more than one tRNA (with a specific anti-codon) for a particular amino acid; and 'wobble' base-pairing, i.e. permitting non-standard base-pairing at the 3rd anti-codon position. RNAcentral also lists the same sequence under 1 other name. The record is from RNAcentral.
GGAGGCGUGGCAGAGCGGCUGAAUGCACCGGUUUUGAAAACCGGCAAGGUGCAAGCCUUCGGGGGUUCGAAUCCUCCCGCCUCCGCCA